AGAGUUUGAUCAUGGCUCAGAACGAACGCUGGCGGCGUGGAUAAGACAUGCAAGUCGAGCGGGAUUUCUUUUGGUAGCAAUACCGAAGGAAGUCUAGCGGCGAACGGGUGCUUAACACGUGGGCAACCUGCCAAGAAGUGGGGGAUAGCUCGCCGAAAGGCGAAUUAAUACCGCAUGUGAUUAGAGAGGACAUCCUUUCGAAAUUAAAGUCGGGGCAACCUGACGCUUUUUGUGGGGCCCGCGGCCUAUCAGCUAGUUGGUGAGGUAACGGCCCACCAAGGCUUUGACGGGUAGCUGGUCUGAGAGGACGACCAGCCACACUGGGACUGAGACACGGCCCAGACACCUACGGGUGGCAGCAGUCGAGAAUUUUUGACAAUGGGGGAAACCCUGAUCGAGCGACGCCGCGUGGAGGAUGAAGGUCUUCGGAUUGUAAACUCCUGUCAUUGGGGAACAAGUCGCUUACGUUAACUGCGUGAGCGUUGAUAGUACCCGAAGAGGAAGAGACGGCUAACUCUGUGCCAGCAGCCGCGGUAAUACAGAGGUCUCAAGCGUUGUUCGGAUUCAUUGGGCGUAAAGGGUGCGUAGGCGGCGCGGUAAGUCGGGUGUGAAAUCUCGGGGCUUAACUCCGAAACUGCAUUCGAUACUGCCGUGCUUGAGGACUGGAGAGGAGACUGGAAUUUACGGUGUAGCGGUGAAAUGCGUAGAUAUCGUAAGGAAGACCAGUGGCGAAGGCGGGUCUCUGGACAGUUCCUGACGCUGAGGCACGAAGGUCAGGGGAGCAAACGGGAUUAGAUACCCCAGUAGUCC
Molecule: ribosomal RNA, 810 nt
Filed under: uncultured bacterium
Lineage: Bacteria
Description: bacterial SSU rRNA
Rfam family: Bacterial small subunit ribosomal RNA
Source: RNAcentral